This 358-nucleotide ribosomal RNA is filed under the name uncultured fungus. RNAcentral's name for it is "eukaryotic LSU rRNA". It matches the Rfam family "Eukaryotic large subunit ribosomal RNA", at positions 40 to 398 of the family's 3401-position model. The record is from RNAcentral. Lineage: Eukaryota; Fungi.
AUAUCAAUAAGCGGAGGAAAAGAAACCAACAGGGAUUGCCCUAGUAACGGCGAGUGAAGCGGCAACAGCUCAAAUUUGAAAUCUGGCUCCUUCGGGGCCCGAGUUGUAAUUUGCAGAGGAUGCUUCGGGUGCGGGUACCUACUGAGUUCCCUGGAACGGGACGCCAUAGAGGGUGAGAGCCCCGUCUGGUAGGACACCCAGCCCAUGUGAAGCUCCCUCGACGAGUCGAGUAGUUUGGGAAUGCUGCUCUAACGGGAGGUAUACUCCUUCCAAGGCUAAAUACCGGCUGGAGACCGAUAGCGCACAAGUAGAGUGAUCGAAAGAUGAAAAGCACUUUGAAAAGAGAGUCAAAUAGCAC